CAAGUGAUGAUGAAUUGCAGUAAAAGGUGGACAAAAUCAAGAACUGGAAAAGAUAAAAAUUGAAUCUUUGAGGUGUGUAGUUCAAUUUCAAGAAUUGGGAAAAAUAAAAAUUGAAUCUUUGAGCUGUGUGUUUCAAUUUCAAGAAGUGGGAUGGAUAAAAAUUGAAUCUUUGAGCUGUGUGUUUCUUCAACUUCAACAUUUUUUUUUGUUGUUUGGGCUAAUGAUUUUGUUGAGAUAAUAUGGUAAGAGAAAACUUCUGCUGCUGCUCAAAAGGGUAUGUGUGUAUGACAGC
Molecule: long non-coding RNA, 292 nt
Filed under: Erythranthe guttata (spotted monkey flower)
Lineage: Eukaryota; Viridiplantae; Streptophyta; Magnoliopsida; Lamiales; Phrymaceae
Description: long non-coding RNA (EGUT_LNC001466)
Source: RNAcentral